AAAUUGAAGAGUUUGAUCAUGGCUCAGAUUGAACGCUGGCGGCAGGCCUAACACAUGCAAGUCGAACGGUAACAGGAAGCAGCUUGCUGCUUUGCUGACGAGUGGCGGACGGGUGAGUAAUGUCUGGGAAACUGCCUGAUGGAGGGGGAUAACUACUGGAAACGGUGGCUAAUACCGCAUAACGUCGCAAGACCAAAGAGGGGGACCUUCGGGCCUCUUGCCAUCAGAUGUGCCCAGAUGGGAUUAGCUAGUUGGUGAGGUAACGGCUCACCAAGGCGACGAUCCCUAGCUGGUCUGAGAGGAUGACCAGCCACACUGGAACUGAGACACGGUCCAGACUCCUACGGGAGGCAGCAGUGGGGAAUAUUGCACAAUGGGCGCAAGCCUGAUGCAGCCAUGCCGCGUGUAUGAAGAAGGCCUUAGGGUUGUAAAGUACUUUCAGCGGGGAGGAAGGUGUUGCGGUUAAUAACCGCAGCAAUUGACGUUACCCGCAGAAGAAGCACCGGCUAACUCCGUGCCAGCAGCCGCGGUAAUACGGAGGGUGCAAGCGUUAAUCGGAAUUACUGGGCGUAAAGCGCACGCAGGCGGUCUGUCAAGUCGGAUGUGAAAUCCCCGGGCUUAACCUGGGAACUGCCUUCGAAACUGGCAGGCUUGAGUCUUGUAGAGGGGGGUAGAAUUCCAGGUGUAGCGGUGAAAUGCGUAGAGAUCUGGAGGAAUACCGGUGGCGAAGGCGGCCCCCUGGACAAAGACUGACGCUCAGGUGCGAAAGCGUGGGGAGCAAACAGGAUUAGAUACCCUGGUAGUCCACGCCGUAAACGAUGUCUACUUGGAGGUUGUGCCCUUUGGGCGUGGCUUCCGGAGCUAACGCGUUAAGUAGACCGCCUGGGGAGUACGGCCGCAAGGUUAAAACUCAAAUGAAUUGACGGGGGCCCGCACAAGCGGUGGAGCAUGUGGUUUAAUUCGAUGCAACGCGAAGAACCUUACCUGGUCUUGACAUCCACAGAACUUUCCAGAGAUGGAUUGGUGCCUUCGGGAACUGUGAGACAGGUGCUGCAUGGCUGUCGUCAGCUCGUGUUGUGAAAUGUUGGGUUAAGUCCCGCAACGAGCGCAACCCUUAUCCUUUGUUGCCAGCGAUUAGGUCGGGAACUCAAAGGAGACUGCCAGUGAUAAACUGGAGGAAGGUGGGGAUGACGUCAAGUCAUCAUGGCCCUUACGACCAGGGCUACACACGUGCUACAAUGGCGCAUACAAAGAGAAGCGACCUCGCGAGAGCAAGCGGACCUCAUAAAGUGCGUCGUAGUCCGGAUUGGAGUCUGCAACUCGACUCCAUGAAGUCGGAAUCGCUAGUAAUCGUGGAUCAGAAUGCCACGGUGAAUACGUUCCCGGGCCUUGUACACACCGCCCGUCACACCAUGGGAGUGGGUUGCAAAAGAAGUAGGUAGCUUAACCUUCGGGAGGGCGCUUACCACUUUGUGAUUCAUGACUGGGGUGAAGUCGUAACAAGGUAACCGUAGGGGAACCUGCGGUUGGAUCACCUCCUUACCUUAAAGAA
This 1552-nucleotide ribosomal RNA is filed under the name Salmonella enterica subsp. enterica serovar Thompson. RNAcentral's name for it is "bacterial SSU rRNA". It matches the Rfam family "Bacterial small subunit ribosomal RNA". The record is from RNAcentral. Lineage: Bacteria; Pseudomonadati; Pseudomonadota; Gammaproteobacteria; Enterobacterales; Enterobacteriaceae.